This 1211-nucleotide ribosomal RNA is filed under the name Cephalophysa terebratula. RNAcentral's name for it is "partial 16S ribosomal RNA". Lineage: Eukaryota; Metazoa; Arthropoda; Insecta; Diptera; Tephritidae. The record is from RNAcentral.
GCAAAUCAAUAUAAAUUGAUUAUAUUUUGUUUAUUUAAUUUAUCUGUGAAUUAAAUUAUUUAUUAAAAAUAAUUAUAUAAUUUGAUGUUUUAGUAAUGUUUAAUGAAAAAAUAAUUUAUAUUAUAGUGUAUUAUAGUAUCGUGAGAGAUUACUGAAAUAUUUUGAAAAAUUUUUAUUAAUAAAGAAAAUUUAAUUUAUUGUACCUUGUGUAUCAGGGUUUAUCAAAUAAUUAAUAAUUAUUUAUUAAUUUCGAUUUUAUAAGAGUUAAUGAUUUAUGAAAGUUAAUGUGUUAAAAUUAUUUUUAAUAAAUUGUUAGAAAUGAAAUGUUAUUCGUUUAUAAAGGUAUCUAGUUUUUUUAGAAAUAAAUUUAAUUUACUAAUUUUUAAUUUUUUUGUUAUUUAAUUAAUAGAAAAAAUUAUUAAUUUGAAUAUUUUAAGGGAUAAGCUUUAAAAUAAAUUAUUAAAAAUUAAUAAUAUUUUUAGAGAUUAUAUGCUUAUUAUUAGCAAUUGAUUAAGAUUUUGUUAUAAAUCACUCUAAUUUAUUAUAUUAUUUAUUAUAAUUUUAAUUUUUUAUAAAAAUAUUUUUUUUAAUUAAGAAUGUAAAGUAAAUAUGAUAAAAUUAGUAUAUUUUAAUGUAUAAAUAAUUAUAUAUGACAAGUUUAUAUAAAGAACUCGGCAAAUUUUUUACUCGCCUGUUUAACAAAAACAUGUCUUUUUGAGUUAUUUUUAAAGUCUGACCUGCCCAAUGAAUAAUUUUAAUGGCCGCAGUAUACUAACUGUGCAAAGGUAGCAUAAUCAUUAGUCUUUUAAUUGAAGGCUGGAAUGAACGGUUGGACGAAGUAUAAGCUGUUUCAUAUAAAAUUAUAAUAGAAUUUUAUAUUUUAGUUAAAAAGCUAAAAUGUUGUUAAAAGACGAGAAGACCCUGUAAAUCUUUAUAUUUUUAUAUAUUUAAAUUUUUUAGAUAUAUUUUAUUUUUGUAUACGAAAGUAUUUUGUUGGGGUGAUGUUAAAAUUUAAUAAACUUUUAAUUAUAAUUAAUCAUUGAUUUAUGAUUUGUUGAUCUGUUAAUAACGAUUAUAAGAUUAAGUUACUUUAGGGAUAACAGCGUAAUUUUUUUGGAGAGUUCAUAUCGAUAAAAAAGUUUGCGACCUCGAUGUUGGAUUAAGGUAUAAUUUUAGGUGUAGCUGCUUAAGUAUUAAGUCUGUUCGACUUU